RNAcentral lists this non-coding RNA (24 nucleotides) under Arabidopsis thaliana (thale cress). The record is from RNAcentral. Lineage: Eukaryota; Viridiplantae; Streptophyta; Magnoliopsida; Brassicales; Brassicaceae.
AGUACGCGUAGCAGUUCCCUCGCA